AAAGCACAAGUAACUGAUUUAGAGAUGAAUUAAUUUCAUGCUGAUGCCUGGCAGUGUAUUGACAUAUGAGCUUACAGUAAGUUUAUAGCUUUGCUCCACAGCAGGGUGUUUGUUUCCACUUCAGCCACUGUAAAUCAAGGCCAGUCCUUGGAUGACCUUCAGAGAGUGUGUGUGUGUGUGUGUGUGUGUGUGUGUUUGACAAAGAGGUCUUUAUCUUAAAUGUGUAAGGAUUCAUGUAUUCCAUUCAGCAUUAAUAUGAAGUGUUGUCUUUUCAGGAUUGGCCGGGGUGCUCACGCUAACCUCCAAGGCUCAUGUUACCGUCAGUCAUCUUUCCAGGUGUUUCAGAUGGAGACUUGAAAAGUGGCUGUGAAAAUGUGACUCCGUUUUUGGUGAGUUUUAUAUUUUCACUGCAAUCAAACAAUUUCAUGCUCUUCUGUGGCUUCAGUAACCUCUCCCACAUCUGGCCUUGUAAUAUCCUUCGAAAUCCCACUGAGUAACACUAAAAAAAACCCUGCAAAAUCUCUUGAACGCCAAGAUUCGUGUGCAGGCACGCGACUGCAGCUCUCACUUGACCUGAGUAGAAAGUCCACUUUCUUGAUAUAGUCACCUCUGCCCCCCAUUCACGUUUGUGGCUACAGACCUGCU
Molecule: long non-coding RNA, 645 nt
Filed under: Betta splendens (Siamese fighting fish)
Lineage: Eukaryota; Metazoa; Chordata; Actinopteri; Anabantiformes; Osphronemidae
Description: lncRNA (ENSBSLG00000016054.1)
Source: RNAcentral